AUGACAGCGGCACAAGAAUCUGGCAACUACGGCGACUACUGCGUCGUCCCCAUUGAACCUGAACCAGAGCCUGCCGAUGUCGCCGGCGAAGACCAGGCGGCCGUUUGGCUGGACACGCUGGCGAUGUUCGUCUUGCUGGCGAUUUCUGUAGGCUUGGCCUUCUACAUGUCCCACCUAACCCGAGUUCUGGAGCCUGGGUACUCGGUACAGUUCACAGGCGUCCAAGGACUCGACCCCUCGCAGAACCCUGCCCCCUCGCCGGCCUUCAACCUCACUGUCCACGUUAACAACAAGCAGCACAUGCGACGAGUCUGCCAGGAGGAGAACACCGUGAUCGUCUACUAUGACGAAGGCAGUAGUAACUCCACGACGAGAAGCAUCGGAUGGGGCAAGAUGCCUGCCUUCUGCGUGGAUAGGUGGUCGACGACGGACCUCGACGUGUCUUUGUCUAAUCAGGGCCUGUUCCUCUCUCAGAGGUUGCGGGAGAAGAUGGAGGCCGAUCGGCAAAGCCAACAAAUUGAUAUAAGCGUCGAGAUCAAGCCAACUCAUCCAGAGAAGUCCUCUACGCCAUGCCUCAAAUUGUGUGGGGGCAAGACGAUCGGCCAGUCCUUCCCAUCCGCGUCAGCGAUGCCAUGCAGCACACUAUGCGCGACAGAAAGGAAGUAUAUUUACUAUAGGGAUCAUCAACGGCGCCCUCCGAGUCACCAAAGCUAUUCCCCUCUCUACUUCUAG
Molecule: ribosomal RNA, 732 nt
Filed under: Triticum aestivum (bread wheat)
Lineage: Eukaryota; Viridiplantae; Streptophyta; Magnoliopsida; Poales; Poaceae
Description: partial small subunit ribosomal RNA
Source: RNAcentral